Molecule: transfer RNA, 51 nt
Filed under: Dilepis undula
Lineage: Eukaryota; Metazoa; Platyhelminthes; Cestoda; Cyclophyllidea; Dilepididae
Description: partial tRNA-Thr
Source: RNAcentral
AAUUUGGUCUGUGUAGAUUAUUGUAAAUCAUGAUGCUGUUAACUUCAGGAA